RNAcentral lists this long non-coding RNA (2897 nucleotides) under Capra hircus (goat). RNAcentral describes it as "lncRNA (ENSCHIG00000006842.1)". The record is from RNAcentral. Lineage: Eukaryota; Metazoa; Chordata; Mammalia; Artiodactyla; Bovidae.
GGCGGCCAGGUGCCGGGGCGCGCGCCCGGGGCGCGGGGGGCGGAGCCCGGCAGGGGGUGCGGGUCCCGGCUCCGUCAGUGACUGCCCGGGGCUCGCGCGUGAGGGGAGCCGGGCAGACGCCCGCCCCCUUCAAAGCCUGAGGAGGCUGCGGGGACCGGGUGAGGGGCUGGAAAGGGCGUGAGGGGUGGGGGGCGCUCAGGCCCUGCCGCCUUCCCGGGAGCGGCGAGGGCACGGGGGCCAAGCCGACUCUCACGUCUGGGCUUCCUCGGGGUGCACAAAACCCGAGGGAGCGGACUGAGACGUGGUCCCCGGGAGGCGGCUGUCCCCCCUCGGGUGGCCGCGCGGGAGGGCAGAGGCCGGAGGGGAAGGGGCCGAGCCAAGUGGCCGAGUCUGACACGUCGAAGGAGAAGGAGCUCUCUUCUCUCCGACCCUUGGCCCUCCGCACCUGAGGAGGUUAGAAAAGGGGGGCGUCCGGGGAUGGCUGCCCUCCCCCGGGGGGCGCAGCACCCGUGGGCGGGGGAGGGGACGACGACGCCGGCCUUCUGGGCGGAACGGCAGCAUCUCUGCAGCCAAACUGGCUGUGGGCGCCCGAGUCUUUCUCUCUGCCCCACAGUUCCAAUCCGAAGCAAGGCGAUGAUGGUUCUCUCCCCCCAAAACCUCCUGCCUGGCUUGCAUUUUUUUUUUUUUUUCCGCCCUCUUUCUUCUUUCUCAUCUGAAGGGUUUUGCCUCCCACUCGAGAGAAAUCAAUUAAAAAAAAAAAAAAAAAAGAUGUGCUGGAUGCAUCCUUGGAUGGAGGAGGAGAGGAAUGACUCCCUCACCCUGCUACACACGCCCCCACGCCACCCCACAGCUCUGAAACGGCUUUUCUUUCUUCGGCAGCCGCACUCUGUUGCCAUUCCAGGCUUGUGUGGGAGAAGACUGCUGUGCGCCUGUGUCUGUCCGCCCGGGCGACUCCAGCCCUCGGUUAAUGAAAGUCUCAAACAGAGCGUCAAUGUCCUUAUCAACUGAGUGGUCUGAGGAGCUAUGCAGCUGGUGAGAGGUGCAGCCAUGGUAGAAAGUUAGGUCAAGCUGACUCCAAAGACUGAAUUUCUUCUUUAUGCCACACAGAGUCCCACUUCAUAACUGGGGCACGCUUAUCUUUCUAGUUAAAGUCAAUAAAUCAAUGUCUUAUAAAUUUGGUUGGUUGGCACAAGUCCACCCCUGAGAGAUCACACAUCUUUUGAUGUGCUGGCAACUAAGAGCUGGCUCUCACCCAGGAAUGGCCUGUGCAGAGCGUGGAUACUCUUUUCCCUGCAGUCUGACAGACCUUGCCCAUCAACUGAAGCACUCUUUUCUGUCAAACCUAGACAGUAGCCUCACAGUCCUCUUCAACGCUGGGCUGCAUGAAGCCACUGCUUUUACGUUUUGGACCACAGCAUUUGGGAUCCUAGUCCCCUGACCAGGGACCAAACCCAUGCCCUCUGCAUUGGAAGCUCAGUCUUAACCACUGACCACCAGGGAAGUCCUACUGUGUCUGGUCUAGAACCCGCCAGGGAGUUUUGGAAUGGAAUUUACAGCAAAGAUUGUAACAGAUAUUACUGUAUUCUGGUUAUUCUGAUAUUAUCUAAUGUAGUAUCUAAUAUAUCUGAAAUAUACCUAACAUAUUUCUAUAUUCAGAAUGUUGACAUUGCUGCUAUUCAAGAAAGUGUACGCUGGACUUCCCUGGUGGUCCAGUGGUUAAGACUUGGAGCUUCCAUUGCAGGGGGCAUGGAUUCUAUCCCUGGAUGGGGAACUAAAAUCCCACAUUCCACAUGGUGCAGCCAAAAAAAGAAAGAAAGUGUCCACAGGUAAAAGGCAAAUUUAUGAGUAUAAAUAAAGGGUGUGGCCAAAAGGUGAUGUCCCAGAAGAAGUACACUGUAAAAAUUUCACAUUAAAGGAACUCUCAAAGAUAUUUGACUGAAAGUGCAAAGGGUGAAAUAUUGAAAGCCGAUCUAAAGUUAGAAAGGGUGUGACAUUUGCUAAAGCACAGAAAAGAUUCCCUGAAGGGGGGCACUAUUCAAACUAUUUGAUACAAUUUUUACAAAGAGAUAAAACAUUUUAUCAGUGUUUCUGUUUUAAAUAAGGAAAUGGUGACCCACUCCAGUAUUCUUGCCUGGAGAAUCCCAUGGACGGAGGAGCCUGGUGGGCUACAGUCCACGGGGUCGAAAAGAGUCAGACACGACUGAGCGACUUAACUUUCUAACUAACUUUAACUUUUCUGUUUUAAAUAACAAUCUUUUAAAUAAGUAUUAGUUUUUCCAUUAAAAAAAAAUCAUUGUAUUGAAGUAUAAUUGAUUUACGAUGUGUUCAUUUCUGCGGUACAGCAAAGUGAUUCAGUUUUAUAUAUACUCUUUCUUAUGUUCUUUCCAUCACGGUUUAUUACAGUAUAUUCAAUACUUCCUUGCGUUAUACAGUAGGACCUUGUUAUUCGUCCAUUCUGUAUAAAAUAUUGGGUUGGCCUAAACGUUCAUUCAAGUUUUUCCGUAAGAUGUUACAUAAGAUGAAUGUUUCGGCCAGCUCAAUAAGGUUGCAUCUGGUAAUCCCAAACUCCCAAUCCAUCCCUCCCCGACCCCCCUUCCCCUCGAUAUCUGUGAGUCAUAUCUGUUUUGUAAGAUAUAGUCAUUUGUCUUGUAUUUCAGACUCUCCAUAUAAGUGAUAUCAUAUGGCGUUUGUCCUUCUCUUUCUGACUUACUUCACUUAGUAUGAUAAUCUCCAGGCCCAUCCAUGUUGCUGCAAAUGGCAUUAUUUCACUCUUCUUUAUGAUUGAGUAAUGUUCUAUUGUGUCUACUCAUUUGUUGAUGGACAUUUAGGUGUUGUACCUAGAUGGACGUUUAGGAAAUGUCUUGGCUGUUGUAAAUAGUGCUACUAUGAACAUAGAG